CUCGCAAGAGCUUACAAUCUAUGAGGAGAUGGUAUGACACAGAAGGUUUCUUAGGUACAGGACGCUCUUCUUUUAAAUACAAUGGUCCUUUCCAUCAAUGACCCAUCAAGGAUGGAGAAGGACAGAAACCACAUGGCUGCAAGGAUAUUAGACCUCACCCUAGAGAUCAUCUCCUUGAUAACUGGAGAGGAUUACACAGUAGUGAAGAAGUCGUCUGGUGAGUGUGUGACACCCCGUGUGUCAGG
Molecule: long non-coding RNA, 245 nt
Organism: Bufo bufo (common toad)
Lineage: Eukaryota; Metazoa; Chordata; Amphibia; Anura; Bufonidae
Exons: 3
Source: RefSeq, a predicted model, not a curated record